Molecule: long non-coding RNA, 1752 nt
Filed under: Homo sapiens (human)
Lineage: Eukaryota; Metazoa; Chordata; Mammalia; Primates; Hominidae
Description: non-protein coding TUSC7:5
Rfam family: Non-coding RNA LOC285194 (bases 1181-1345)
Source: RNAcentral
GUUACACAAGGGGUACCAAAGUCCACUCUGAGCUUUUCCUCUGGGAACAGAUCCCAGAUUAUUCCAGACUUAAGACAUGGAGAUAUAUCUUGCUAGAGGUAGGAAGAUGAUAAGAUCAGUUUCUAUAGGUAGAGGAUAAUGUGUCCUAAAAUGUAGGUAGAGAUAAGUCUGACAGUGGUUUAGACAAAAAGGGCCUCUGCUAAUGGUGGAGAGAUCAAGGAAGAAAAGAGCAACGUUAAAGUGAGGCUGUACCCACAGAUCAUGCUCAAGCAAAUUCGAACCGUGAGCGCAUUUCUCUUAAACAAUGAACACUUAGAAUAAAAAUUAAAAUUUCCCACAAAUUUCUAAUUUUAAAAUAGUUUCCCAAGAUUUCAGUGGUAUUGUAUAUAUGCCCAUAUAAUUUUUUGGAUUACUAUUCCCACAAGUGUAAGAUGAAAGAGGACCUGCCCUCCAUUCUAUCUACUCCCUCUCUGCAAAGGCCAUUUUGAAGAUCUCAGUUUUACUGAAAGGGGUCUGCCACACAUAACUUCCCUGGUGUACCAGCAACAAGUGUUCAGUGGACCAUGGCAACACAAAGAAUGACGGAGGAGAGAAAAUGCCAUGCAGAAGUGAUAGUCAAGAUGAAGAUGUGGGAGAGGAGCAGCCCCCAGUAUAUAUUCAGUGUGUCCUCUGAAGUAACAACCAUCCCAUCUGGCUGAGAAGUGAUGGACACGGCUCCUUAACCACACUGUACCCUCUGUUCUUGGCACCUCUCUACCAGAAAGAUAUCAACAAAUUGGAUGGAAUUCAGAGAACAUGACUUCCUAUUAUCCUUCUCAAAGUUAUUGCUGCAGAGGAAAGAAGCAUACAUCUUUUACCCACCAGGAAACCCCCAAAGCAUCUAUUACCAUAAUAGCCAUGGGAAACAGAAGGCACCUCAAAUAAAGGUGGGGAAAAGAAUGAAAGAAAUGGCUUUGGCCUGUGCCUGUUUGACCUCUGAGAGAUACUUUUUGCAAGAAAUUGUUAAGUUUUGGCCCAAAAAGUGGUCGGUCUUUUAUCCUUCCUUGUGGAGGCCAAACUGCAAACCAGGAUGAAGAAACCAUCAGUGGCAGUUUGGGGAGGUGGAGGAGGGACUAUCUAGACUCAGUGAAUCACCAAGGAAACAUGAGGCCUAUUUCUCUGUGAAGCUGAACUUCAAAAAACAAUCUAAGAGAUACAAAGGGAAAAGUGUGACUGCUCUGACAGCAAAAACAAGCAAAUAUCUCCAGAGGGGAUUAAUCCUUCUGCUUCAAAGUAACUAAAACAAAGAAAGCUGAGCCAGCUUCACUGGAAACAACACCUGUCCAUCAGACAAGGAUGAGCUAAUCAAAAGAAAACACUGCCUAUGUGCACGACUCAGCAGCCUGGACAGCUAAUACCAAGGAACACGUUUUCACUAUAAAGAUUCAGCUUUCAAAAUCCAGUUCCCUCUUGUAGAGCCACAGGGUUAAAAGGGACCUUAGAGAUCAUCUACAUACAGGCCAAACCCUCAAUGAAUGCCAGUGUUCGCCUUAUGUUCUUCUUGCCGGACUCUUUUCUGGCCUCUGUUCUGUCAGGAUGUUUCCUGUUUUGCAAAACAGCUUUAAUCCUUGAGUAUAUUUAAUUGUUAGAAAACAGUUCCUCAAAUUUGACCCCAAAUUUAAGUCUAAUUUAUGAAGAAAGUUUUGCCUUUGGAGACAGGUUUAAUUUUACUUCCAUGUGGAAAACCUUCAAAUAAAAUGAUGACUAUUGUGU